AUUGAACGCUGGCGGCAGGCUUAACACAUGCAAGUCGAACGGUAACAGGAAGCAGCUUGCUGCUUUGCUGACGAGUGGCGGACGGGUGAGUAAUGUCUGGGAAACUGCCUGAUGGAGGGGGAUAACUACUGGAAACGGUAGCUAAUACCGCAUAACGUCGCAAGACCAAAGAGGGGGACCUUCGGGCCUCUUGCCAUCGGAUGUGCCCAGAUGGGAUUAGCUAGUAGGUGGGGUAACGGCUCACCUAGGCGACGAUCCCUAGCUGGUCUGAGAGGAUGACCAGCCACACUGGAACUGAGACACGGUCCAGACUCCUACGGGAGGCAGCAGUGGGGAAUAUUGCACAAUGGGCGCAAGCCUGAUGCAGCCAUGCCGCGUGUAUGAAGAAGGCCUUCGGGUUGUAAAGUACUUUCAGCGGGGAGGAAGGGAGUAAAGUUAAUACCUUUGCUCAUUG
This 454-nucleotide ribosomal RNA is filed under the name Escherichia coli. RNAcentral's name for it is "bacterial SSU rRNA". It matches the Rfam family "Bacterial small subunit ribosomal RNA", at positions 30 to 477 of the family's 1533-position model. Lineage: Bacteria; Pseudomonadati; Pseudomonadota; Gammaproteobacteria; Enterobacterales; Enterobacteriaceae. The record is from RNAcentral.